AUUGAACGCUGGCGGCAUGCCUUACACAUGCAAGUCGAACGGUAACAGGUCUUCGGACGCUGACGAGUGGCGAACGGGUGAGUAAUACAUCGGAACGUGCCCAGUCGUGGGGGAUAACUACUCGAAAGAGUAGCUAAUACCGCAUACGAUCUGAGGAUGAAAGCGGGGGACCUUCGGGCCUCGCGCGAUUGGAGCGGCCGAUGGCAGAUUAGGUAGUUGGUGGGAUAAAAGCUUACCAAGCCGACGAUCUGUAGCUGGUCUGAGAGGACGACCAGCCACACUGGGACUGAGACACGGCCCAGACUCCUACGGGAGGCAGCAGUGGGGAAUUUUGGACAAUGGGCGAAAGCCUGAUCCAGCAAUGCCGCGUGCAGGAUGAAGGCCUUCGGGUUGUAAACUGCUUUUGUACGGAACGAAAAAGCUUCUCCUAAUACGAGAGGCCCAUGACGGUAC
Molecule: ribosomal RNA, 453 nt
Filed under: uncultured bacterium
Lineage: Bacteria
Description: bacterial SSU rRNA
Rfam family: Bacterial small subunit ribosomal RNA
Source: RNAcentral